GGUGUGACUGCGUACCUUUUGUAUAAUGGGUCAGCGACUUAUAUUCUGUAGCAAGGUUAACCGUAUAGGGGAGCCGAAGGGAAACCGAGUCUUAACUGGGCGUUAAGUUGCAGGGUAUAGACCCGAAACCCGGUGAUCUAGCCAUGGGCAGGUUGAAGGUUGGGUAACACUAACUGGAGGACCGAACCGACUAAUGUUGAAAAAUUAGCGGAUGACCUGUGGCUGGGGGUGAAAGGCCAAUCAAACCGGGAGAUAGCUGGUUCUCCCCGAAAGCUAUUUAGGUAGCGCCUCGUGAACUCAUCUUCGGGGGUAGAGCACUGUUUCGGCUAGGGGGCCAUCCCGGCUUACCAACCCGAUGCAAACUACGAAUACCGAAGAAUGUUAUCACGGGAGACACACGGCGGGUGCUAACGUCCGUCGUGAAGAGGGAAACAACCCAGACCGCCAGCUAAGGUCCCAAAGUCAUGGUUAAGUGGGAAACGAUGUGGGAAGGCCCAGACAGCCAGGAUGUUGGCUUAGAAGCAGCCAUCAUUUAAAGAAAGCGUAAUAGCUCACUGGUCGAGUCGGCCUGCGCGGAAGAUGUAACGGGGCUAAACCAUGCACCGAAGCUGCGGCAGCGACACUAUGUGUUGUUGGGUAGGGGAGCGUUCUGUAAGCCGUUGAAGGUGGCCUGUGAGGGCUGCUGGAGGUAUCAGAAGUGCGAAUGCUGACAUAAGUAACGAUAAAGCGGGUGAAAAGCCCGCUCGCCGGAAGACCAAGGGUUCCUGUCCAACGUUAAUCGGGGCAGGGUGAGUCGACCCCUAAGGCGAGGCCGAAAGGCGUAGUCGAUGGGAAACAGGUUAAUAUUCCUGUACUUGGUGUUACUGCGAAGGGGGGACGGAGAAGGCUAUGUUAGCCGGGCGACGGUUGUCCCGGUUUAAGCAUGUAGGCGGAGGUUCCAGGUAAAUCCGGUACCUUUUAACGCUGAGGUGUGAUGACGAGGCACUACGGUGCUGAAGUAACAAAUGCCCUGCUUCCAGGAAAAGCCUCUAAGCAUCAGGUAACAUCAAAUCGUACCCCAAACCGACACAGGUGGUCAGGUAGAGAAUACCAAGGCGCUUGAGAGAACUCGGGUGAAGGAACUAGGCAAAAUGGUGCCGUAACUUCGGGAGAAGGCACGCUGAUAUGUAGGUGA
Molecule: ribosomal RNA, 1174 nt
Filed under: Enterobacter cloacae
Lineage: Bacteria; Pseudomonadati; Pseudomonadota; Gammaproteobacteria; Enterobacterales; Enterobacteriaceae
Description: partial 23S ribosomal RNA
Rfam family: Bacterial large subunit ribosomal RNA
Source: RNAcentral